This 26-nucleotide small RNA is filed under the name Bombyx mori (domestic silkworm). RNAcentral's name for it is "piRNA piR-bmo-2219788". Lineage: Eukaryota; Metazoa; Arthropoda; Insecta; Lepidoptera; Bombycidae. The record is from RNAcentral.
UCGCAUAGGAAAUUGUUGGGCGACUC